This 495-nucleotide ribosomal RNA is filed under the name uncultured bacterium. RNAcentral's name for it is "partial 16S ribosomal RNA". It matches the Rfam family "Bacterial small subunit ribosomal RNA", at positions 28 to 507 of the family's 1533-position model. The record is from RNAcentral.
GACGAACGCUGGCGGCGUGCCUAAUACAUGCAAGUAGAACGCUGAAGGAGGAGCUUGCUUCUCUGGAUGAGUUGCGAACGGGUGAGUAACGCGUAGGUAACCUGCCUGGUAGCGGGGGAUAACUAUUGGAAACGAUAGCUAAUACCGCAUAAGAGUAGAUGUUGCAUGACAUUUGCUUAAAAGUUGCAAUUGCAUCACUACCAGAUGGACCUGCGUUGUAUUAGCUAGUUGGUGGGGUAACGGCUUACCAAGGCGACGGUACAUAGCCGACCUGAGAGGGUGGUCGGCCACACUGGGACUGGGACACGGCCCAGACUCCUACGGGGGGCAGCAGGAGGGAAUCUUCGGAAAUGGACGGAAGUCUGACCGAGCAACGCCGCGUGAGGGAAGAAGGUUUUCGGAUCGGAAAGCUCCGUUGUAAGAGAAGAAAGAGUGUGAGGGUGGAAAGUUCACACUGUGACGGUAUCUAACCAGAAAGGGACGGCUAACUACGUG